RNAcentral lists this microRNA precursor (90 nucleotides) under Lupinus angustifolius (narrow-leaved blue lupine). Its description in RNAcentral is "mir-395 microRNA precursor family". It matches the Rfam family "mir-395 microRNA precursor family". Rfam says of the family: mir-395 was identified in both Arabidopsis thaliana and Oryza sativa computationally and was later experimentally verified. mir-395 is thought to target mRNAs coding for ATP sulphurylases. The mature sequence is excised from the 3' arm of the hairpin. Lineage: Eukaryota; Viridiplantae; Streptophyta; Magnoliopsida; Fabales; Fabaceae. The record is from Rfam by way of RNAcentral.
GUGUUCCCUAGAGUUCCUCUAACCAUUUCAUUAAGAAUUCAUUAAAUGAAUUCUCUUUAUUGAAGCGUUUGGGGGAACUCCUGGAAUCAC